GAGCCCCCCUCUGGGGCCUCCCUGGUCCAAGCCCUGAGCCACCUCUUCCUAUUAUGGAUGUGACCCGAGCAUGCCACUCUGCCUUGUCACUCAACAGAACAUGUGCGACUUUUGUGCUUAAGGAAGCCUCUGAGGGGGACAGUCGCCAUGCAUUUCCCUCUGGGACGCCAUCAUCCAGAGCCCACCCUAAUCUCCUGGUGCUGCCCGUGACCUCAUCUGGGACUGGGCUGGAGCAGUGCCUACUUGACAGCCUAAUAGAGAACCAUGAAAAUGGUGGAUUCAGGUUGGUGCACGGCCUCUGACGCUGGUCUGGAGAACAGCAGGAAGGGUAUUCGUAUGGAAGAAGCCUGAGCCCCCCUCUUCUCAGGACCCUGAGAGGGCACAGCCUGGCCCCGCGGAGCCUCCACUGGUGUGGAUCACGGCAGGCCGCCUGACGCCAUGAGAGUGGGUGGGCUGCAGGCCGCUCUGCCCAGCCAGUGUGAGUACCCGGAGGAGAGGCCUCGUCCAGCUCCACUCAGCUCAGGAGGUGGCACUGCUAAUGAGAGCCCCGUGUUGGUACAGCACUCUACAGUUGAUAGAGCUCGUUCUCCGGCCUCCAUGACCAGCCUAAGGCCAUGUGACCAAGAAGAACACAGCGGAAGCUGAUGGCCCCAGUCUCAGAGUGCCAGGGGAGAGACCUGAAGGUGAUUUGGUCUCAAGGUGCUCUAGGAGGGACUUGGAGGACCGCUGGUAGGACAUCAACGGCGGGAAUGGAGUGCCCGCUCCCACGGUGGCCAUGCCUGUUUCUGCCACCAGGCAGGAGUCCCAGUUAUGUGCUGACGGUCUUGCCAGCCUCUCUCCUAACCCAAGUGGCAGAUGACGGCGUCUCACUGGGGUUUCAUAACAUUUGCAGGGGCCCCCAGACCCCUCCCCUGCACGCACUCCUGGGUCACCCUGAGCCCUUGAGCACGGGCAGAACUGUGAACAUGACCUUGAGUUUAUCCUGGAGGCCUAACCUUAUCCUAACCUUAUCCAGGAACCUUUAAAAGAAGGUGAACUGUGGACAGGUGCGCUCCAGCCCGCCUGGGGACACACAGCCGGGAGCUGCGGGAGGCCCUGCAGGGCUGAGGCGGUGCCUGACUGGCAGCCAGCAAGACCCAGAGACUUGGCACAGCCAGAGUGGACUGGACUCUCCCAGUGACCGAAGGGCUUGGAAGAGGCCCCUGAGCCUGCAGGAGACGUCAGCUCGGCUGAUACCUUGACUGCAGCCUGGGAGACCCUGGGCGGAGACCCGGACCCUGCUAACCAGGCCUGGACCCCGGCUCACGUGCAUGAGUACGUUUGUGUCCACGGAGCUAUUGGGCUCAUCCCUCAGAAGCAGGAGGGUCAGGGCUUUGCAGACCCCAUGCAGACCCUCCUUAGCUCUCGGUGGGCAUUGAACCCGCCUGACCCGUGGAGCAUCCCGGCUUGGCCACCAGGCGCACCACAGAGCGUGGGCUGUCCCUCGUGGUCUCUAGCUGGUCGGGAGCGAGGGCUGGGCCACCGCACACUCCCUGGAGAAGAUGCUAAUUCAGAACUCCACGGAGGUUUCUCCUGAAUGCACAGCGCUUUCCCACCAAGGUGAAGUCCAACCAUCCUGAGUUGGGCUGUCUCUGUUUUUGCAGUUACUUGAUAUCGGUUUUCUGUUUAGUGUAGAGAUAUAAGGUUUCCUUAAAAUAUUCUAAAAAUUAAGUUAGUUCAAUUUUUAAAAUCAGCAUGGAGUUUUUUUUUUUUUUUUAAAUGGCUCAAAUUCUUUGAUACUCUUCAAGGGGUGGGCUUUGUGCCCCCCUCCCUGUGAAUCUGGGUGGCCUUGUGUCUGCUUCCACCCAGAGUGUGAUGAAGGGGACACAAAGUGACCUCCGAGGUUGGGUUGUAAAAGGCGGCACAGCCGCAGCCUGGUGGGUCAGGGAGGCCCGUGCAGGAGAAGCCAGCUUUCACACAGACUGCCACCCUGGGAGGCCACAUGGAGCCCUCCAGCCACCGGCCCGCCCAGCUCCUGGCCACCAGGCAGCAUCGGCCACCAGCUGUGUGAGGCUUCCACUUGGACUUCCAGCCUGUCAAGCCUUCAGAUGGACACAGCCCCGGCCAGCCUCUGACCACAGUGGCCUAGGAGACCCCAAACAAGAAAUGCCGGCCACGCCUCUCGUAUUCCUGACCACAACGUCCCAGCGAAAUAAAACAGUUGCUUUAGCUGUU
Marmota flaviventris (yellow-bellied marmot) is the source of this 2214-nucleotide long non-coding RNA. RefSeq lists it as uncharacterized. The record is from RefSeq and is a predicted model, not a curated record. NCBI's taxonomy places the organism in Eukaryota, Metazoa, Chordata, Mammalia, Rodentia, Sciuridae.